RNAcentral lists this ribosomal RNA (550 nucleotides) under Arthrobacter sp. ZD25. RNAcentral describes it as "bacterial SSU rRNA". It matches the Rfam family "Bacterial small subunit ribosomal RNA", at positions 127 to 678 of the family's 1533-position model. The record is from RNAcentral. Lineage: Bacteria; Bacillati; Actinomycetota; Actinomycetes; Micrococcales; Micrococcaceae.
UGCCCUUGACUCUGGGAUAAGCCUGGGAAACCGGGUCUAAUACUGGAUACGACCUUCCCGCGCAUGCGGUGUUGGUGGAAAGCUUUUGCGGUUUUGGAUGGACUCGCGGCCUAUCAGCUUGUUGGUGGGGUAAUGGCCUACCAAGGCGACGACGGGUAGCCGGCCUGAGAGGGUGACCGGCCACACUGGGACUGAGACACGGCCCAGACUCCUACGGGAGGCAGCAGUGGGGAAUAUUGCACAAUGGGCGCAAGCCUGAUGCAGCGACGCCGCGUGAGGGAUGAAGGCCUUCGGGUUGUAAACCUCUUUCAGUAGGGAAGAAGCCGGUCUUUCGGGGUUGGUGACGGUACCUGCAGAAGAAGCGCCGGCUAACUACGUGCCAGCAGCCGCGGUAAUACGUAGGGCGCAAGCGUUAUCCGGAAUUAUUGGGCGUAAAGAGCUCGUAGGCGGUUUGUCGCGUCUGCCGUGAAAGUCCGGGGCUUAACCCCGGAUCUGCGGUGGGUACGGGCAGACUAGAGUGCAGUAGGGGAGACUGGAAUUCCUGGUGUAG